UACGUAGGGACCAAGCGUUGUCCGGAAUCAUUGGGCGUAAAGAGCGUGUAGGCGGCCUGUUAAGUCUUGCGUGAAAUCUCGGGGCUCAACCCCGAGCGGUCGUGAGAAACUGGCAGGCUAGAGUGCGGGAGAGGAGAGUGGAAUUCCUGGUGUAGCGGUGAAAUGCGCAGAUAUCAGGAAGAACACCCGUGGCGAAGGCGGCUCUCUGGGACGGUACUGACGCUGAGGUGCGAAAGCGUGGGGAGCAAACAGG
RNAcentral lists this ribosomal RNA (253 nucleotides) under uncultured bacterium. RNAcentral describes it as "partial 16S ribosomal RNA". It matches the Rfam family "Bacterial small subunit ribosomal RNA", at positions 524 to 776 of the family's 1533-position model. The record is from RNAcentral.